GAUGAAGAACGUAGCAAAAUGCGAUAAGUAAUGUGAAUUGCAGAAUUCAGUGAAUCAUCGAAUCUUUGAACGCACAUUGCGCCCGCCAGUAUUCUGGCGGGCAUGCCUGUUCGAGCGUCAUUUCAACCCUCAAGCACAGCUUGGUGUUGGGACUCGCGUUAAUUCGCGUUCCCCAAAUUGAUUGGCGGUCACGUCGAGCUUCCAUAGCGUAGUAGUAAAACCCUCGUUACUGGUAAUCGUCGCGGCCACGCCGUUAAACCCCAACUUCUGAAUGUUGACCUCGGAUCAGGUAGGAAUACCCGCUGAACUUAAGCAUAUCAAUAAGUGGAGGA
Molecule: unclassified non-coding RNA, 332 nt
Filed under: soil metagenome
Description: partial contains 5.8S ribosomal RNA, internal transcribed spacer 2, and large subunit ribosomal RNA
Rfam family: 5.8S ribosomal RNA (bases 1-120)
Source: RNAcentral